GAUGAACGCUAGCGGAAGGCUUAAUACAUGCAAGUCGAGCGGUAGGUGGCUUCGGCCAUUGAGAGCGGCGCACGGGUGAGUAACGCGUACAUGACCUGCCUGUCAGAAGGGGAUAGCCCUGGGAAACUGGGAUUAAUACCCUAUGGUAUUGAUAUUAUGAAUGAUAUCAAUUAAAGUUGAGGCGCUGACAGAUGGAUGUGCGUCUGAUUAGCUAGUUGGUAGGGUAACGGCCUACCAAGGCGACGAUCAGUAGGGGGCGUGAGAGCGUGGUCCCCCACACGGGUACUGAGACACGGACCCGACUCCUACGGGAGGCAGCAGUAAGGAAUAUUGGUCAAUGCCCGCAAGGGUGAACCAGCCAUUCCGCGUGGAGGAUGAAGGCCCUAUGGGUUGUAAACUUCUUUUAGAUGGGAAGAAAAUGCUAGAUGUAUCUGGUACUGACGGUACCAUCAGAAUAAGCACCGGCUAACUCCGUGCCAGCAGCCGCGGUAAAGUA
RNAcentral lists this ribosomal RNA (496 nucleotides) under uncultured bacterium. RNAcentral's name for it is "bacterial SSU rRNA". It matches the Rfam family "Bacterial small subunit ribosomal RNA", at positions 28 to 527 of the family's 1533-position model. The record is from RNAcentral.